AGCGAACGCUGGCGGCAGGCUUAACACAUGCAAGUCGAGCGGCCAUCCUUGUGGUGUCAGCGGCAGACGGGUGAGUAACGCGUGGGAACGUGCCCUUCGGUUCGGAAUAACUCAGGGAAACUUGAGCUAAUACCGGAUACGUGCGAGAGCAGAAAGGUUUAUCUGCCGAAGGAUCGGCCCGCGUCUGAUUAGCUAGUUGGUGAGGUUAUGGCUCACCAAGGCGACGAUCAGUAGCUGGUCUGAGAGGAUGAUCAGCCACACUGGGACUGAGACACGGCCCAGACUCCUACGGGAGGCAGCAGUGGGGAAUAUUGGACAAUGGGGGCAACCCUGAUCCAGCCAUGCCGCGUGAGUGAUGACGGCCUUAGGGUUGUAAAGCUCUUUUCUUCGGGACGAUAAUGACGGUACCGGAGGAAUAAGCCCCGGCUAACUUCGUG
RNAcentral lists this ribosomal RNA (437 nucleotides) under uncultured bacterium. Its description in RNAcentral is "partial 16S ribosomal RNA". It matches the Rfam family "Bacterial small subunit ribosomal RNA", at positions 29 to 507 of the family's 1533-position model. The record is from RNAcentral.